GGCCUACAGCAGGUAAGAAGUGACUGUGGCUGCUCUGCUUCUCUGAUCUUUCAGCUUUCACCCUAAUAUCUGAUUCUGGGCUUUUAUUGUUGAGACUAAUUAGGAUCACAUCUCACAAGUCCACAAACUCCUUAGGUUUGACUUCUUAACUGGGCUUUUAGUAACUUCCAUGAGUUCCUUCUCAUAGAGCAGGCCUCAGAUGCGAUCAGAAGAUGGUUGGUUACCAGUAAGAGCUGUACCACUAUUUCAGAGCUUGCCCUGCUUAUUGGUUUUGUGACUCAUAAAGUUCACAAAUUCUUAAGAACAUUGAUGGUUCUUUCUAGCCAACUAACACACACAAGAGUUCCAUUCCAUUUUUCUAUUUUAGUUUGAAGAUAGUUUUCCAAACGACUUUUCCACACACUCUUCAUUUUAGCUGGUUUGUCCUUCUCUCUGCACAGUUCUCCUGAUGCGCUAUGGUAAUCUCCAGGAACCUUAGAAGUAGACUGGAGUUAGAUGGGCAGAUAUGAGAAAGGACUUGAACCCAGAGAUGGAAGAUUGGGGUGAAUUCUUGGUAUUUGAAGAGAAGCAGAUAUGGUCAGCGGAAAAGAGAGCUUAGAGGAGCUGAGCUUCUGAUGUACAGUUCCUGCCUCCAGGUUCCUGCAUUAGCUCCUGCCCAGGCUUUUCUUGAUGACAGACUGAAACAUAUCAGUGUUUUAAGGUGAAUCCACACCUCUCCAACUGUUCCUGAAAUCUAAGCACCAACCUCUAGGAAACCUUCUGAGGUCUUCCUUUUCUCUCUGACUCCAGCCUCACCAGAUCACAAAGAGCUUCUCCCCAAUCUUACAUCCCCCAACUCAUCCCAUUAUCCCAGCCCCCAACACUAGCAGGGAUUCCCUGUGAACACACCAGCUGAGCAGGCCAGGGAAACGGGCACCACACAGCAAGUACACUCUGAAAUCCCGGAGUGAAAACAGAAACCAAGGAACAAAAGACCCACUCAAUAAAGACAGUGUCAGAAAUCAACACCUGGACUUAUAAUCACCCCAAACCCAAAUGCUUAGACUCCAGCAUAAAAACACAGUAACAGUCCAGAAAUCAGCACCUGGACUAUAAUCACCCCAAACCUAAAUGCCCAAACUCCAGCAUAAAAACAGUCACACCCAGGGCAGUAUGUCUCCUCUAGAGCCCAGCUAUCCUAUCACAGCACACCCUGAAUAUUUCAACAUAGCUGAAGCACAAGAAAAAAAGACCUUCAAGUCAACUAUGUGAAGAUGACCAAGGCCCUUAAAAAGAAAAUGAAUGAAUCUCUCGAAGAAAUCUAAGGAAACAUAGACCAGAGCUUUGUUCACCUUUCAUCAGAGAAGUUGCUUCUUAAAGUAGAUGGGGAUUGACACAGACACACAAGUGCACAGUGUGCAAAGUGUGGAAGACUUCAGGAGUCCUCAGCCCUAAACAGGAUGUCUUUAUCAAAGACAUUCCCCAGCAUUCAUCUAUGUGGAAGAGGAGACAGGAAGAUCCUAAGAGCCAGAGGGGGUGGACAACUCCAAGGAAACAACCUUCUAGCCCCACCAGGGCUCAUAAACAGAUGAGUUCACAGACACCAUGACAGUAUGUGCAAAACAUAUACAAGUCUGAAACAGCCAAAAAUCCCAGCAUGGAGGUAGGGAAGUACACCCAAUUGGUAACCUGCUGGAGAAAGGAAAAUCACUCUCACCAAUGGAGUGUUAUUGGGGAUAUCUACUACACUCCAAGGCAGGCCCUGUGCCCAGAACUAGUUAUUCCUAAACAAAAUGGACUUCAAGGGCUUUUGUGUUCCUUUCCCUCUGUUUUGGUAUUUUAUUGAUUAUAUUGGUUUUUGUUUGUUUGUUUCAAGUUCCUUUUUUAUUUCAUUUGAGAUAGAGAAAAUAAAGUUGGGUGGAGAGAGAAG
Peromyscus maniculatus bairdii (prairie deer mouse) is the source of this 1909-nucleotide non-coding RNA. NCBI's taxonomy places the organism in Eukaryota, Metazoa, Chordata, Mammalia, Rodentia, Cricetidae. The record is from RefSeq and is a predicted model, not a curated record.